Molecule: ribosomal RNA, 492 nt
Filed under: uncultured bacterium
Lineage: Bacteria
Description: partial 16S ribosomal RNA
Rfam family: Bacterial small subunit ribosomal RNA
Source: RNAcentral
AGUGAACGCUGGCGGUAGGCCUAACACAUGCAAGUCGAACGGCAGCACAGUAAGAGCUUGCUCUUACGGGUGGCGAGUGGCGGACGGGUGAGGAAUACAUCGGAAUCUACUUUUUCGUGGGGGAUAACGUAGGGAAACUUACGCUAAUACCGCAUACGACCUACGGGUGAAAGCAGGGGAUCUUCGGACCUUGCGCGAUUGAAUGAGCCGAUGUCGGAUUAGCUCGUUGGCGGGGUAAAGGCCCACCAAGGCGACGAUCCGUAGCUGGUCUGAGAGGAUGAUCAGCCCCACUGGAAUUGAGACACGGUCCAGACUCCUACGGGAGGCAGCAGUGGGGAAUAUUGGACAAUGGGCGCAAGCCUGAUCCAGCCAUACCGCGUGGGUGAAGAAGGCCUUCGGGUUGUAAAGCCCUUUUGUUGGGAAAGAAAAGCAGCAGGUUAAUACCCCGCUGUUCUGACGGUACCCAAAGAAUAAGCACCGGCUAACUUCGUG